GACGAACGCUGGCGGCGUGCUUAACACAUGCAAGUCGAACGGAAAGGCCUCUUUCGGGGGGUACUCGAGUGGCGAACGGGUGAGUAACACGUGAGUAACCUGCCCUUGACUUUGGGAUAACUUCAGGAAACUGGGGCUAAUACCGGAUAGGAGCUCCUGCUGCAUGGUGGGGGUUGGAAAGUUUCGGCGGUUGGGGAUGGACUCGCGGCUUAUCAGCUUGUUGGUGGGGUAGUGGCUUACCAAGGCUUUGACGGGUAGCCGGCCUGAGAGGGUGACCGGCCACAUUGGGACUGAGAUACGGCCCAGACUCCUACGGGCGGCAGCAGUGGGGAAUAUUGCACAAUGGGUGGAAGCCUGAUCCAGCAACGCCCUGUGCGGGAUGACGGCCUUCGGGUUGUAAACCGCUUUCGCUCAUGACGAAGCUUUGUGUGACGGUAGUGGGUAAAGAAGCACCGGCUAACUACGUG
RNAcentral lists this ribosomal RNA (467 nucleotides) under uncultured bacterium. RNAcentral's name for it is "partial 16S ribosomal RNA". It matches the Rfam family "Bacterial small subunit ribosomal RNA", at positions 28 to 507 of the family's 1533-position model. The record is from RNAcentral.